This 468-nucleotide ribosomal RNA is filed under the name uncultured bacterium. RNAcentral describes it as "partial 16S ribosomal RNA". It matches the Rfam family "Bacterial small subunit ribosomal RNA", at positions 28 to 507 of the family's 1533-position model. The record is from RNAcentral.
GACGAACGCUGGCGGCGCGCCUAACACAUGCAAGUCGAACGGAGUCAAGAGGAGCUUGCUUUUCUUGACUUAGUGGCGAACGGGUGAGUAACGCGUGAGUAACCUGCCCUGGAGUGGGGGACGACAGUUGGAAACGACUGCUAAUACCGCAUAAGCCCACGGAUCCGCAUGGAUCUGCGGGAAAAGGAUUUAUUCGCUUCAGGAUGGACUCGCGUCCAAUUAGCUAGUUGGUGAGGUAACGGCCCACCAAGGCGACGAUUGGUAGCCGGACUGAGAGGUUGGACGGCCACAUUGGGACUGAGACACGGCCCAGACUCCUACGGGAGGCAGCAGUGGGGGAUAUUGCACAAUGGGGGAAACCCUGAUGCAGCGACGCCGCGUGGAGGAAGAAGGUUUUCGGAUUGUAAACUCCUGUCGUUAGGGACGAUAAUGACGGUACCUAACAAGAAAGCACCGGCUAACUACGUG